GGGUCGGUAGCUCAGUUGGUAGAGCAGAGGCCUUUUAAGCCUUUGGUCGCGGGUUCAAGUCCCGCCCGACCCACCA
Molecule: transfer RNA, 76 nt
Filed under: Candidatus Peribacteria bacterium RIFCSPHIGHO2_01_FULL_51_35
Lineage: Bacteria; Candidatus Peregrinibacteriota; Candidatus Peribacteria
Description: tRNA-Lys
Rfam family: tRNA
About the family: Transfer RNA (tRNA) molecules are approximately 80 nucleotides in length. Their secondary structure includes four short double-helical elements and three loops (D, anti-codon, and T loops). Further hydrogen bonds mediate the characteristic L-shaped molecular structure. tRNAs have two regions of fundamental functional importance: the anti-codon, which is responsible for specific mRNA codon recognition, and the 3' end, to which the tRNAs corresponding amino acid is attached (by aminoacyl-tRNA synthetases). tRNAs cope with the degeneracy of the genetic code in two manners: having more than one tRNA (with a specific anti-codon) for a particular amino acid; and 'wobble' base-pairing, i.e. permitting non-standard base-pairing at the 3rd anti-codon position.
Source: RNAcentral